Molecule: long non-coding RNA, 879 nt
Filed under: Nilaparvata lugens (brown planthopper)
Lineage: Eukaryota; Metazoa; Arthropoda; Insecta; Hemiptera; Delphacidae
Description: uncharacterized LOC120355597
Source: RNAcentral
UUACUCCCAUUCUGUUAACAUGGAGCUCGCUCAGUUUCUGUCCUUGUCGCUGCAAUUUCUUUCUUGUUCUUCUUCCUGAUUAACGGUCGAAUAACAAUUUUUGGUAGAAAACAGCUAGUUCAAGUCGAGCUCCCGGUGAGAAAGGAUGUAACUCCCGCUUCUUAUUUUUUUUUCAUGUUUAACUGUAAAUUCUGUACUUAUUUUGUUCACUAAGUAAUGUGAAGUUUUCUAUUAAUACAAAACCGGUAGUAACUCCAUAGUUCACAGUAGCCUCAAAUUUAUAAUUUAAAAUGCCGGUAUUCAAAUAUUACAUCAGAUUGUUUUAAUGCGUGCAAAAACCCGCUAUUAAAGCGGUCAAUGUCUAUGCUCGAAGUCUAUGCUCGAUGUCUAUGCUGGAUGUCCAUGCCCGAAGUCCAUGAUUGAAGCCAGGUCCCAUAUUCCACGUUCCAUGGUGAGGCUGCAAGUCUACAUUCGGUGAACCAGACCGAUGAUUACGAAUCCAGACGUCCAGUCUAAUUAUUCUGGUACGAGGACUGGUCCAGACGAAUCUGGGAAGAUUCCACCGGAGUUCGUAAUUGUACAAACCCGCCACACCACAAGAUUCGCCAUCUUCAAAUAAUAUCGACGUAUAAGGAUAUCAGCCAAACUUCGUAACAUCGCCCAUAUGGAUAAAGUGUAAACAGUGCUCGCGAAAAGUAAAAUAUUGCAAAAGUGUUCAUCGAUUAAAAGGGUUUUGGGGCGCCCCUCCUCAACAUAUAAGGUAUUUAUCUGAAUCACUAUGUAUUGAGAUCAAAAUGUAAUCUGUUUAUUUUAUAUUCAUAAUUUGUUGCACCGUUUAAUCUGUUUUCAAUAUUUAAUUAGAUGCUUCUUUUAACUAUC